Humulus lupulus (European hop) is the source of this 697-nucleotide long non-coding RNA. RefSeq lists it as uncharacterized. The record is from RefSeq and is a predicted model, not a curated record. The transcript is spliced from 3 exons. Lineage: Eukaryota; Viridiplantae; Streptophyta; Magnoliopsida; Rosales; Cannabaceae.
CCCAUUAGGCUAGUUAUUUCUCUAGGGUUAGAUAAAAAAGAGAAGAAAGAAAGAAAAGAGCCAUUUUGGCUCUUGGUGUCGUCGGCUAGGAGGGAGAGAGAGAGAAGAGGCAGUGUGUGGAGCUAGAGAGAGAAGGAGAGAAAAGAAGGAAGAAAGAGAGAAAGAGAGAGAGAGAGAGAUCAAGGAAGAAGAAGUAAGAAGAAAGUUUGGCUCAAAUGUUGUAGGUGACAAGAAAAAGGGAGAAUAAACUUUGUGAGUUGAUUGCUAUCUAAGAAGGUAAAGGCAAGGGCAAACUUGAUCAACCUUGAUUUGGAGAGCUCUACGAGCGGAAUGUACAUGGCUAGCUGCUCAGCCGACACGGUUGAGGUUUAGGCAGGGACGCGAGACCGAGAAAUUAUUCAUUUUGCCUUAGUAUGGCUGACAGUUGUCUGUAUUUUUGGGAGUCUGUAAUCCAACUUUUAAACUCUGUUUCUUUUGGGAUCCCAUGUAUAUAACUGCUUAAUUAUAUGAAAUGAAACUUUUGAGACCAAAACCUUUUUAACCCUAGCUUGUACAUGUUUAGUGACACGUUUUUAUAUUAAUGACCUGAUUAGCAAGUCUUGCACAUUUAUAAGUACACAGUGUAGCGGUCUUGGCUAACCAGGGCGUUACAACUUGGUAUCAGAGCAUCCUAGGUUUAAGGGUUCCUAAAGACAGC